Molecule: ribosomal RNA, 427 nt
Filed under: uncultured Aeromonas sp.
Lineage: Bacteria; Pseudomonadati; Pseudomonadota; Gammaproteobacteria; Aeromonadales; Aeromonadaceae
Description: partial 16S ribosomal RNA
Rfam family: Bacterial small subunit ribosomal RNA
Source: RNAcentral
UGGGGAAUAUUGCACAAUGGGGGAAACCCUGAUGCAGCCAUGCCGCGUGUGUGAAGAAGGCCUUCGGGUUGUAAAGCACUUUCAGCGAAGAGGAAAGGUCAGUAGCUAAUAUCUGCUGGCUGUGACGUUACUCGCAGAAGAAGCACCGGCUAACUCCGUGCCAGCAGCCGCGGUAAUACGGAGGGUGCAAGCGUUAAUCGGAAUUACUGGGCGUAAAGCGCACGCAGGCGGUUGGAUAAGUUAGAUGUGAAAGCCCCGGGCUCAACCUGGGAAUUGCAUUUAAAACUGUCCAGCUAGAGUCUUGUAGAGGGGGGUAGAAUUCCAGGUGUAGCGGUGAAAUGCGUAGAGAUCUGGAGGAAUACCGGUGGCGAAGGCGGCCCCCUGGACAAAGACUGACGCUCAGGUGCGAAAGCGUGGGGAGCAAACA